AGAUUGAACGCUGGCGGCAGGCCUAACACAUGCAAGUCGAGCGGCAGCACGGGUACUUGUACCUGGUGGCGAGCGGCGGACGGGUGAGUAAUGCCUAGGAAUCUGCCUGGUAGUGGGGGAUAACGCUCGGAAACGGACGCUAAUACCGCAUACGUCCUACGGGAGAAAGCAGGGGACCUUCGGGCCUUGCGCUAUCAGAUGAGCCUAGGUCGGAUUAGCUAGUUGGUGAGGUAAUGGCUCACCAAGGCGACGAUCCGUAACUGGUCUGAGAGGAUGAUCAGUCACACUGGAACUGAGACACAGUCCAGACUCCUACGGGAGGCAGCAGUGGGAAUAUUGGACAAGUGGGCGAAAAGCCUGAUCCAGCCAUGCCGCGUGUGUGAAGAAGGUCUUCGGAUUGUAAAGCAACUUUAAGUUGGAGGAAGGCAGUUACCUAAUACGUAUCUUGUUUGACGUUACCGACAGAAUAAGCAACCGGCUAACUCUGUG
RNAcentral lists this ribosomal RNA (489 nucleotides) under uncultured soil bacterium. RNAcentral's name for it is "bacterial SSU rRNA". It matches the Rfam family "Bacterial small subunit ribosomal RNA", at positions 26 to 507 of the family's 1533-position model. The record is from RNAcentral.